Rhododendron vialii is the source of this 792-nucleotide long non-coding RNA. RefSeq lists it as uncharacterized. The record is from RefSeq and is a predicted model, not a curated record. NCBI's taxonomy places the organism in Eukaryota, Viridiplantae, Streptophyta, Magnoliopsida, Ericales, Ericaceae. The transcript has 5 exons.
AGCUGUCCUUGGGGAACAAAUAAGAGAUCAUGCACCUGUUCGAGACAUUUGUUGGAAAGCAAUUGAUUUUGGUAUCAGAGAAUCCAUCGUUGUUAGAGUUGGGCAAACUUUUGACAUUGGGGACUACAAGAAUGAUAUGGAGGCUACGGAAACCAUAGACCUAAAGUGUUAGGAUUUAUACAAGGAAUGGAAGAGCAACUUGUGCACAUGCUAUUUUGCCAUGAAAAAUAAGGUAGCUGACCCCAAAAAUCAUGCACCAUAUCCCUGUAAGCCAGAGGACUGGGUGUUCAUGAUUGAUAAUGUGUGGGAGACCAAGGACCGGAAGACGAAGUCCAACAGAGGAAAGCAUGCCCGAUCGAAGGUGAAAUUCAAUCAUACAAGUGGCUCCAGAUCGUUUAUAUCGCGAGCUUCUAUGAUUCUAAAAGAGAAGCGUAAAAAAUAGAACAUUGCGGAGAAGUUUGAGAUGACCCAUAGACGUCAUCGACAUGGGGGAGAGUGGAUAAACGACAAGGCUCGAGAGCAUCAUGCUACAUUAAAAGCAAAGCUUAAAGAACAAUCGCAGCCUAACGUCACUAAUCCUUCAUCUGAGCGAUAAAUUUCCGUUGAUGUGCUUGGAAAGAGGUCAGUUUAUGUGAAGGAAUACGGGAGCCGCAUGAGUACUAUUUCAUCGUUCAAUCAACCUCAGGAACCUGAUCCCGAGGCAACUGUUCUACAGAAGAAGGUUGACGAUCAAGCUAAGACCUUGACUAAGCAUUCUCGGACAAUGACAGUAGUUCAAGGCCUUCUUCAGGU